This 470-nucleotide ribosomal RNA is filed under the name Limosilactobacillus oris. RNAcentral describes it as "bacterial SSU rRNA". It matches the Rfam family "Bacterial small subunit ribosomal RNA", at positions 67 to 520 of the family's 1533-position model. The record is from RNAcentral. Lineage: Bacteria; Bacillati; Bacillota; Bacilli; Lactobacillales; Lactobacillaceae.
UUACACUGAUUUGACGUUGGAUUCCCAGUGAGCGGCGGACGGGUGAGUAACACGUGGGCAACCUGCCCCAAAGCGGGGGAUAACAUUUGGAAACAGGUGCUAAUACCGCAUAACUUGGAAAACCACAUGGUUUUCCAAUAAAAGAUGGUUUCGGCUAUCACUUUGGGAUGGGCCCGCGGUGCAUUAGCUAGUUGGUAAGGUAACGGCUUACCAAGGCGAUGAUGCAUAGCCGAGUUGAGAGACUGAUCGGCCACAAUGGAACUGAGACACGGUCCAUACUCCUACGGGAGGCAGCAGUAGGGAAUCUUCCACAAUGGGCGCAAGCCUGAUGGAGCAACACCGCGUGAGUGAAGAAGGGUUUCGGCUCGUAAAACUCUGUUGUUGGAGAAGAACGUGCGUAAGAGUAACUGUUUACGCAGUGACGGUAUCCAACCAGAAAGUCACGGCUAACUACGUGCCAGCAGCCGCCG